CUCAUGUUUGCUUCUUGUAGACGCCGGUUCUCACGCUCGAAUCUUUCUAUUGGAUCCUCCUGCUGAGCUUGCUGCUCUCUCAUGGUAUGAUACUCCUUUUCAUAUUUCUUCAGCUUCUUCUGGCUAAUCUUCAUGUUACAGGCUAACUCCAUCAGCUUUUUUGCAUUCUCCUCUGAGCGGUACCUCUUGGGCAGCUGUACACGGAAGAACUUUAAAGCCCCUUCGAAGUCGGUCAGUAACAAGUCAUCCUUGGUAGUUUUUAAUAAUCCCAGUGCAACGUUAAAGAUAACACUUAUUCCCUCACAUAAGAGUAAGUCAAUAAUAUGGAAGACCAUGUAGAGAGGGAAUUUUGCCGUGAACAAUGUAAGGAACCACUGGGAAGCAUACAUGUGUGCUUCAAGGCUGAUGUCCAGGAAGUGGUUAUACA
RNAcentral lists this long non-coding RNA (427 nucleotides) under Gallus gallus (chicken). The record is from RNAcentral. Lineage: Eukaryota; Metazoa; Chordata; Aves; Galliformes; Phasianidae.